Molecule: ribosomal RNA, 253 nt
Filed under: uncultured bacterium
Lineage: Bacteria
Description: partial 16S ribosomal RNA
Rfam family: Bacterial small subunit ribosomal RNA
Source: RNAcentral
UACGGGGGGGGUAAGCGUUGUUCGGAAUUACUGGGCGUAAAGGGCUCGUAGGCGGCCAACUAAGUCAUACGUGAAAUCCCUCAGCUUAACUGGGGAACUGCGUGUGAUACUGGAUGGCUUGGAUUUGGGAGAGGGAUGCGGAAUUCCAGGUGUAGCGGUGAAAUGCGUAGAUAUCUGGAGGAACACCGGUGGCGAAGGCGGCAUCCUGGACCAAUAUUGACGCUGAGGAGUGAAAGCCAGGGGAGCAAACGGG